RNAcentral lists this ribosomal RNA (492 nucleotides) under Yarrowia lipolytica. RNAcentral describes it as "partial large subunit ribosomal RNA". It matches the Rfam family "Eukaryotic large subunit ribosomal RNA", at positions 77 to 649 of the family's 3401-position model. Lineage: Eukaryota; Fungi; Ascomycota; Dipodascomycetes; Dipodascales. The record is from RNAcentral.
GCCUCAGUAACGGGCGAGUGAAGCGGCAAAAGCUCAAAUUUGAAACCCUCGGGAUUGUAAUUUGAAGAUUUGGCAUUGGAGAAAGCUAACCCAAGUUGCUUGGAAUAGUACGUCAUAGAGGGUGACAACCCCGUCUGGCUAACCGUUCUCCAUGUAUUGCCUUAUCAAAGAGUCGAGUUGUUUGGGAAUGCAGCUCAAAGUGGGUGGUAAACUCCAUCUAAAGCUAAAUACUGGUGAGAGACCGAUAGCGAACAAGUACUGUGAAGGAAAGGUGAAAAGAACUUUGAAAAGAGAGUGAAAUAGUAUGUGAAAUUGUUGAUAGGGAAGGAAAUGAGUGGAGAGUGGCCGAGGUUUCAGCCGCCCCUCGUGGGCGGUGUACUGCCGACGCCGAGUCAUCGAUAGCGAGACGAGGGUUACAAAUGGGAGCGCCUUUCGGGCGUUCUCCCCUAACCCUCCACACUGCCACCGACGACAUAAUCCACCCAUUUCACC